RNAcentral lists this ribosomal RNA (459 nucleotides) under uncultured bacterium. RNAcentral's name for it is "partial 16S ribosomal RNA". It matches the Rfam family "Bacterial small subunit ribosomal RNA", at positions 338 to 795 of the family's 1533-position model. The record is from RNAcentral.
CCUACGGGAGGCAGCAGUGGGGAAUAUUGCGCAAUGGGCGAAAGCCUGACGCAGCGACGCCGCGUGAGGGAUGAAGGUACAGCGUAUCGUAAACCUCUUUUGUCAGGGAACAAAGGCGGGGACUAGUCCCCGGAUGAGGGUACCUGAAGAAAAAGCAUCGGCUAACUCCGUGCCAGCAGCCGCGGUAAUACGGAGGAUGCGAGCGUUAUCCGGAUUUAUUGGGUUUAAAGGGUGCGCAGGCGGCCUGUUAAGUCAGCGGUAAAAGCCCGGGGCUCAACCCCGGCGAGCCGUUGAAACUGGCGGGCUGGAGUUGGAGAGAAGUACGCGGAAUGCGCGGUGUAGCGGUGAAAUGCUUAGAUAUCACGAAGAACUCCGAUUGCGAAGGCAGCCUACUAAACUGCCACUGACAUUGAUGCUCGAAAGUGUGGGUAUCAAACAGGAUUAGAUACCCCAGUAGUC